ACGAGGCGAACCGGGGGAACUGAAACAUCUAAGUACCCCGAGGAAAAGAAAUCAACCGAGAUUCCCCCAGUAGCGGCGAGCGAACGGGGAGCAGCCCGGAGUCUGAAUCAGCUUGUGUGUUAGUGGAAGCGUCUGGAAAGUCGCAGGGUACAGGGUGAUACUCCCGUACACUAAAACACACAGGUUGUGAACUCGAAGAGUAGGGCGGGACACGUGGUAUCCUGUCUGAAUAUGGGGGGACCAUCCUCCAAGGCUAAAUACUCCUGACUGACCGAUAGUGAACCAGUACCGUGAGGGAAAGGCGAAAAGAACCCCGGCGAGGGGAGUGAAAAAGAACCUGAAACCGUGUACGUACAAGCAGUAGGAGCCCACUUGUUGGGUGACUGCGUACCUUUUGUAUAAUGGGUCAGCGACUUAUAUUCUGUAGCAAGGUUAACCGUAUAGGGGAGCCGCAGGGAAACCGAGUCUUAACUGGGCGUUAAGUUGCAGGGUAUAGACCCGAAACCCGGUGAUCUAGCCAUGGGCAGGUUGAAGGUUGGGUAACACUAACUGGAGGACCGAACCGACUAAUGUUGAAAAAUUAGCGGAUGACUUGUGGCUGGGGGUGAAAGGCCAAUCAAACCGGGAGAUAGCUGGUUCUCCCCGAAAGCUAUUUAGGUAGCGCCUCGUGAACUCAUCUUCGGGGGUAGAGCACUGUUUCGGCUAGGGGGUCAUCCCGACUUACCAACCCGAUGCAAACUACGAAUACCGAAGAAUGUUAUCACGGGAGACACACGGCGGGUGCUAACGUCCGUCGUGAAGAGGGAAACAACCCAGACCGCCAGCUAAGGUCCCAAAGUCAUGGUUAAGUGGGAAACGAUGUGGGAAGGCCCAGACAGCCAGGAUGUUGGCUUAGAAGCAGCCAUCAUUUAAAGAAAGCGUAAUAGCUCACUGGUCGAGUCGGCCUGCGCGGAAGAUGUAACGGGGCUAAACCAUGCACCGAAGCUGCGGCAGCGACACUAUGUGUUGUUGGGUAGGGGAGCGUUCUGUAAGCCGUUGAAGGUGGCCUGUGAGGGUUGCUGGAGGUAUCAGAAGUGCGAAUGCUGACAUAAGUAACGAUAAUGCGGGUGAAAAACCCGCACGCCGGAAGACCAAGGGUUCCUGUCCAACGUUAAUCGGGGCAGGGUGAGUCGACCCCUAAGGCGAGGCCGAAAGGCGUAGUCGAUGGGAAACAGGUUAAUAUUCCUGUACUCGGUGUUACUGCGAAGGGGGGACGGAGAAGGCUAUGUUGGCCGGGCGACGGUUGUCCCGGUUUAAGCAUGUAGGCGGAUGUUCCAGGUAAAUCCGGAACGUCACUAACGCUGAGGUGUGAUGACGAGGCACUACGGUGCUGAAGUGACAAAUGCCCUGCUUCCAGGAAAAGCCUCUAAGCAUCAGGUAACAUCAAAUCGUACCCCAAACCGACACAGGUGGUCAGGUAGAGAAUACCAAGGCGCUUGAGAGAACUCGGGUGAAGGAACUAGGCAAAAUGGUGCCGUAACUUCGGGAGAAGGCACGCUGAUGGUAGGUGAAGCGACUUGCUCGUGGAGCUGAAAUCAGUCGAAGAUACCAGCUGGCUGCAACUGUUUAUUAAAAACACAGCACUGUGCAAACACGAAAGUGGACGUAUACGGUGUGACGCCUGCCCGGUGCCGGAAGGUUAAUUGAUGGGGUUAUCCGUAAGGAGAAGCUCUUGAUCGAAGCCCCGGUAAACGGCGGCCGUAACUAUAACGGUCCUAAGGUAGCGAAAUUCCUUGUCGGGUAAGUUCCGACCUGCACGAAUGGCGUAAUGAUGGCCAGGCUGUCUCCACCCGAGACUCAGUGAAAUUGAACUCGCUGUGAAGAUGCAGUGUACCCGCGGCAAGACGGAAAGACCCCGUGAACCUUUACUAUAGCUUGACACUGAACACUGGUCCUUGAUGUGUAGGAUAGGUGGGAGGCUUUGAAGUGUGGACGCCAGUCUGCAUGGAGCCAUCCUUGAAAUACCACCCUUUAAUGGCUGGUGUUCUAACGUGGGCCCCUGAUCGGGGUUGCGGACAGUGUCUGGUGGGUAGUUUGACUGGGGCGGUCUCCUCCUAAAGAGUAACGGAGGAGCACGAAGGUCAGCUAAUCCUGGUCGGACAUCAGGAGGUUAGUGCAAUGGCAUAAGCUGGCUUGACUGCGAGCGUGACGGCGCGAGCAGGUGCGAAAGCAGGUCAUAGUGAUCCGGUGGUUCUGAAUGGAAGGGCCAUCGCUCAACGGAUAAAAGGUACUCCGGGGAUAACAGGCUGAUACCGCCCAAGAGUUCAUAUCGACGGCGGUGUUUGGCACCUCGAUGUCGGCUCAUCACAUCCUGGGGCUGAAGUAGGUCCCAAGGGUAUGGCUGUUCGCCAUUUAAAGUGGUACGCGAGCUGGGUUUAGAACGUCGUGAGACAGUUCGGUCCCUAUCUGCCGUGGGCGCUGGAGAAUUGAGGGGGGCUGCUCCUAGUACGAGAGGACCGGAGUGGACGCAUCACUGGUGUUCGGGUUGUCAUGCCAAUGGCAUUGCCCGGUAGCUAAAUGCGGAAGAGAUAAGUGCUGAAAGCAUCUAAGCACGAAACUUGCCCCGAGAUGAGUUCUCCCUGACUCCUUGA
This 2630-nucleotide ribosomal RNA is filed under the name Klebsiella michiganensis. RNAcentral describes it as "bacterial LSU rRNA". It matches the Rfam family "Bacterial large subunit ribosomal RNA". Lineage: Bacteria; Pseudomonadati; Pseudomonadota; Gammaproteobacteria; Enterobacterales; Enterobacteriaceae. The record is from RNAcentral.